This is an RNA transcript of Cebus imitator (Panamanian white-faced capuchin), 2195 nucleotides long. It is a transcript of the gene named fasciculation and elongation protein zeta 2, with no coding region annotated. NCBI's taxonomy places the organism in Eukaryota, Metazoa, Chordata, Mammalia, Primates, Cebidae. The transcript is spliced from 10 exons. The record is from RefSeq and is a predicted model, not a curated record.
GGGCUUCGGGUAGGGGCGGGGCCGGGCUGGGCGCGCGACUGCUCCGGGCGGCGAUGGCGGCGGACGGGGACUGGCAGGAUUUCUAUGAGUUCCAGGAGCCGGCUCGGAGCCUCCUGGACCAGGAGAACUGUAACGCGAGCUCCGACGCCGGGGCAGAGGCAGGGGCGGGGGCGGGGGCGAGCGGGGGUGCCGACGGCUUCCCGGCGCUGGCCUGCAGCUUGGAGGAGAAGCUGAGCCUGUGCUUCCGCCCCUCGGAUCCGGGCGCCGAGCCCCCGAGGGCUGCCGUGCGGCCCAUCACGGAGCGCAGCCUCCUGCAGGGGGACGAGAUUUGGAAUGCCCUGACAGAUAAUUAUGGAAAUGUGAUGCCUGUAGACUGGAAGUCAUCCCACACUAGGACCUUGCACUUGCUUACUCUGAACCUCUCAGAAAAAGGGGUAAGUGACAGUUUGCUCUUUGAUGCAUCAGAUGACGAGGAGCUGAGAGAGCAGCUGGAUAUGCACUCAAUCAUUGUCUCCUGUGUGAAUGAUGAACCCCUCUUCACAGCAGACCAGGUUAUUGAAGAAAUUGAAGAAAUGAUGCAGGAAUCACCGGACCCAGAAGAUGAUGAAACCCCUACACAGUCAGAUCGGCUUUCAAUGCUUUCCCAGGAAAUUCAAACUCUUAAGAGGUCUAGUACCAGCAGUUAUGAAGAGAGAGUAAAAAGGCUCUCAGUGUCUGAGUUAAAUGAACUCCUGGAAGAGAUUGAGACUGCCAUUAAGGAGUACUCGGAGGAGCUGGUGCAGCAGUUGGCCUUACGAGAUGAACUGGAGUUUGAAAAGGAAGUGAAAAACAGCUUUAUUUCUGUUCUUAUUGAAGUGCAAAACAAACAGAAAGAGCACAAAGAAACAGCAAAAAAGAAAAAGAAACUAAAAAAUGGCAGCUCUCAAAAUGGGAAGAAUGAGAGAAGUCAUAUGCCUGGCACACGCUUCAGCAUGGAAGGGAUCUCAAAUGUCAUUCAGAAUGGCCUCCGCCACACCUUUGGAAAUUCAGGUGGAGAGAAACAGUAUUUGACUACAGUCAUUCCUUAUGAGAAAAAAAAUGGACCACCAUCUGUUGAAGAUCUUCAAAUAUUAACAAAAAUUCUUCGUGCCAUGAAGGAGGACAGUGAAAAAGUUCCGAGCUUGUUAACUGAUUAUAUUCUGAAAGGACUGUAAUUGUGAACCUACCUAUACCGCAUGCCUUAGGGAAGCAGCACCCAUCUAAUUCUGCUCCUCAUGCUCGGGCCGCUGGCUCCUGUCUUUCUGUGUCCUACAUAAAGCAGCAUUACUUCAGGAGCAGCAACUUUAUCUGCGGUGGGACUCCGAGCUAGAUUUCCUACAGCAUUAUUCUGAAAGCUGGCCACCAUUACCUUCUUGCUAUUGGAAACUCAGCACAUUUGAACUUCGGUUUGAUUCAGUAUUAACAGAUCUUGGCUUCCCUAAUUCUUUAUAUUAUAGAACCGAUGGAAAUAUGGGCACUAUUUUGAAUUCUAGAGAUGGUUUUAAAGUCUACUAAUAAUUAUGAACUGUUCUUAGUACAGAGAGUAGUAGUAAUUGUGCAUGUGCAGUUAUAUUUCUCAUUAACUGACAGUAUGCCCGUUUGUUUUUACGGCUUUCUAAUCUACACUGCACUGAUGAACUAGAUUAAAGCCUUGGGAGAUUUAUGCUACAAAUUCAGUGAUAGCAAGAACCAGCACUGAUUUUUGUGAGAAUUGUCAGUAUAAAUAUUACCUACCAGUAUUGUUCAGAGAGACUGAAAGAAACUUGGGCUGUUCUUGAAGAGGCAAAACCAGAAUAUGCAUUACAGUGGCUUAAUACUUAGUGAACAUUGAAACUGUUGGUGAUGAUUGGAUUUUAUAGCUUGCUGCUUGUUUCACCUUUGGUAAAAUUUUAACCGUUAAAUUGCCACUUUUAGAAUCUUGUAUUAACUUUUGAGAUGUUCCAAUGUUCUGCUUCAUAUGUCUGUGAAUUGUACUUGAAUAGUUUGUAUCCUCUGAGGUGCUUAAAGUGUAUCCUGCAGAACUGCCCAUUCCCAUGACGGUCAUAUUUUAUUCAUGCCUGUGUGUUUUUCUUAAGUAUGAAUUCUAGAAACAGCUACUUACGGGUUCAAUAUCAUAAGCGCUUUUGCCAGUUCCAAUCAAAUCAAUGGCAUUUAAUAAAUUUUUUAAAAAGUAAAAA